This 253-nucleotide ribosomal RNA is filed under the name uncultured bacterium. RNAcentral's name for it is "partial 16S ribosomal RNA". It matches the Rfam family "Bacterial small subunit ribosomal RNA", at positions 524 to 776 of the family's 1533-position model. The record is from RNAcentral.
UACGGGGGGAGCAAGCGUUGUUCGGAUUUACUGGGCGUAAAGGGCGCGUAGGCGGUUCUCCAAGUCCGCUGUGAAAGCCCCGGGCUCAACCUGGGAAUGGCAGUGGAAACUAGGGGACUGGAAUCUGGCAGAGGGGGGUGGAAUGCCGCGUGUAGCAGUGAAAUGCGUAGAGAUGCGGCGGAACACCGAUGGCGAAGGCAGGUCUCUGGGCUGACACUGACGCUCAUGCACGAAAGCGUGGGGAGCAAACAGG